RNAcentral lists this ribosomal RNA (479 nucleotides) under uncultured bacterium. RNAcentral's name for it is "SSU rRNA". It matches the Rfam family "Bacterial small subunit ribosomal RNA", at positions 26 to 518 of the family's 1533-position model. The record is from RNAcentral.
AGAACGAACGCUGGCGGCAGGCCUAACACAUGCAAGUCGAGCGGAGCCCAUCCCGUGGCAACACGGGUGAAGGCUUAGCGGCGAACGGGUGAGUAACACGUGAGGAACCUGCCCCGAAGACCGGGAUAACCCUCCGAAAGGAGAGCUAAUACCGGAUACCCUCCCUUGGUCGCAUGGCCGAGAGAGGAAAUGGAUUCCGCUUCGGGAGGGCCUCGCGGCCUAUCAGCUUGUUGGUGAGGUAACGGCUCACCAAGGCGUCGACGGGUAGCUGGUCUGAGAGGACGAUCAGCCACACUGGGACUGAGACACGGCCCAGACUCCUACGGGAGGCAGCAGUGGGGAAUCUUGCGCAAUGGGCGAAAGCCUGACGCAGCAACGCCGCGUGGGGGAUGAAGGCUUUCGGGUUGUAAACCCCUUUCAGCAGGGACGAUUGUGACGGUACCUGCAGAAGAGCCCGGCAACUACGUGCCAGCAGCCGC